Callithrix jacchus (white-tufted-ear marmoset) is the source of this 574-nucleotide non-coding RNA. NCBI's taxonomy places the organism in Eukaryota, Metazoa, Chordata, Mammalia, Primates, Cebidae. The record is from RefSeq and is a predicted model, not a curated record.
CCCGACAGAAUGGCUCCCGCAAAGAAGGGUGGUGAGAAAAAGGGCCGUUCUGCCAUCAACGAGGUGACGACCCGAGAAUACACCGUCAAGAUUCACAAGCGCUUCCGUGGAGUGGGCUUCAAGAUGGGUGCUCCUCGGGGACUCAAAGAGAUUCGGAAAUUUGCUCUGAAGGAGAUGGGAACUCCACAUGUGCACAUUGAUGCCAGGCUCAGCAAAGCUGGUCGGCCAGAGUAAUAAGGAAUGUCCCACACCGAAUCCUGUGCCGUUGUCCAGUAAACGUAAUGAGGAUGAAGACUCACGAAAUAAGCUCUAUACUUUGGUUACCUAUGUACCUGUUACCACUUUCAAAAAUCUACAGACAGUCAAUGUGGAUGAGAACUAAUCGCUGAUCGUCACAUACAUCAAAUAAACUUAUAAAAUUGCAAAAACAAACAAACGAUUACAUAUCCAUACGAUGAAAUACUACACAGCAAUAAAAAUCAAUGAAGAACUAAUACGGUAAUCAACGUGGAUUACGCUGAACAAAGGAAGCAUAACACAGUGUAAUACAUCUUGUGUUCCAUUCACAUGAGAU